This 406-nucleotide unclassified non-coding RNA is filed under the name soil metagenome. Its description in RNAcentral is "partial contains 5.8S ribosomal RNA, internal transcribed spacer 2, and large subunit ribosomal RNA". The stretch from base 1 to 121 matches the Rfam family "5.8S ribosomal RNA", at positions 35 to 154 of the family's 154-position model. The record is from RNAcentral.
GAUGAAGAACGCAGCGAAAUGCGAUAAGUAAUGUGAAUUGCAGAAUUCAGUGAAUCAUCGAAUCUUUGAACGCACCUUGCGCCCUUUGGCCAUUCCGAAGGGCAUGCCUGUUUGAGUAUCAUGAACACCUCAACUCUUCAUGGUUUUCCGUGAUGAGCUUGGACUUUGGGGGUCUUGCUGGCCUAUGGUCAGCUCCUCUAAAAUAAAUCAGCUCGCCAGUGUUUGGUGGGUAUCACAGGUGUGAUAACUAUCUACGCUUGUGGUUUUCCACCAGGUAACCUUCAGCAGUGGAGGUUCGCUGGAGCUCACAGAUGUGUCUCUCCUCAGUGAGGACAGCUCUUUGAAUGUUUGAUCUCAAAUCAGGUAGGACUACCCGCUGAACUUAAGCAUAUCAAUAAGCGGAGGA